This 1176-nucleotide long non-coding RNA is filed under the name Daphnia magna. RNAcentral's name for it is "uncharacterized LOC116923489". The record is from RNAcentral. Lineage: Eukaryota; Metazoa; Arthropoda; Branchiopoda; Diplostraca; Daphniidae.
UUUUUUUAAUGCAUCAGCCAACUUCCACUUCCCGCAAUACCUUCCCACAGGUAACAUAGCGUCCCAGUACCAAAAAACGGAAUGUCACAUUGACAUGGAAAAAGUAUCGUAGCCUGCAAGAUGAAAAUAAAGAAAAGUUUGGAUGAACAUACGAAAGAGGAAAUAAAGUAAAUGCAUUUGAAAGAGGAAACACAGUAAAUGCCAUUAUUCAUUUUUGCAAUUUCAAAACCUUUCUGUUUUCUGGUUUGUGGUGUGCUAUUGGUUUUUUUCGUUAUGCAAAUGAUUCUUCUUCUCUUUAGUCCGUAGACAAGAUUUAAAGAAAGUUUUCAUCAUAAAUUUGCAAAGGCCUUGGGUGUGUGUAUCAUCUGUGGAACAUUGAAACUCCGGGCAAGCAGACAAGAAUGGAGUAAGAAACUCAACCAAAUCAUCUACGAUAUUGGUACAGUAGCGUAACUGAGGCAGUGUCUUCUUAAAGAAGAAUCACUACCCAAGUGCUUUAUUAGUCGGAGAUAUCUUGCUGAACUCGUUGGCCUAACAAUGCGGGUAUAACAGUCAAUGCAGAAAUUAUCAAGCUUUCCGAAUUUGUGGAUUGCAAAUUGCAAGGACAUACACUAAGGUAAGUGAAUCCCUUGUGAGAGGCAUAUUUGCUAAGGUUACAUUCAAAGAAUUGUUUAAGUAAAUUGAUAAUUAUUGUAAAUUAAUCAAAUCUUUUACAUGGGUCUCGAGUAAGUUCUUGUAGUAGUUGAAGAUGGACCGGAUCAGUUUUUUCAAGAACGGUUUUUCCUCUAUGUUUACUUAAUAUUGGAUUCCUAACUGUUGUAAUCAAUGGAGAAUUUUGCCUCAAUACCACUUCUGUCAGUAAUGGUGUGUUCGACGACAUCGAAGUAAGUGAUAGUUGUGUUCUAGAAAUCUUUUCAAUUGCACUCAGGCAAUGGGCGAAUGAUGGAUGGUCGGUACUGCCACAAUAGUGUCGGACAGAACCGUGGAACCGUUCAAUGUUGUCGGUAGAAAAACGACGUGUUAAAACAAAUUUUAAUCCGCUUUUCAAAAGGUAACGAAUGCAGUUGGCUGUAGAGCGACUGGUUAAUAUAAAUGGUUCUUGAGUUUGUUUUGUUAGACAUUCAUGGUCAUUUUUUUUCUUGAUUCUAUUUCUUUAUUUCACUGGGAAACAUUUCG